This 705-nucleotide long non-coding RNA is filed under the name Homo sapiens (human). RNAcentral describes it as "HSALNT0240128". Lineage: Eukaryota; Metazoa; Chordata; Mammalia; Primates; Hominidae. The record is from RNAcentral.
CCUGAGGACCCUAGGAGACUCCCGGGAGAUGAAGGAGAGUUGGUUGGCUGAGCUUCAGAAACAGUUUGAUCCUUGGGGUUUAAGACAGACAUCAGCAGAGCAGGGUCAGCCACAGGAAAGCAGGAAGGGAAAGUGCAAAAUGGGACGAGAGCAACAGGGGUGACCCCAAAACUGUGGUUCUCAACUUGUUUCCACCUGAGUGACAACAUUGGGACAGGGACCCUCUAUUAUGUGGUGGGUGUCCGAGAGUUUGAGGACCACUGAUCUGGACCAGAACAUGGUGGCCAGAGGACGCAGAGAGAAAGUUUAAAAGGCCUUUGUUUUUCAAGUUCACAAGACCAUUUCCUGAGGGACUAGACAAAAUCGAUAUAAAGUUGCUGUGACACUGAAGGAAAGGAAGAGAGAAAGAACCGAAAGUCCUGCUUAAAUAAACUCAAGGGAAGCCAAUGGGGUAACUUUCGUGAUGACAUACUCCUGCAAAGAUGGCGUGGGACAUAAUUCUCAUGGAUGGAGGUGAACAUGACUGUCCCUUGAUACAAGGGGUAGAAUUGAUUGGGUUGCUGUUGUCCUUUGAGAAUCACCACCCGACUCUAUGUGGCUGUUUCUUCAAUUGCAAAAUGAGAGAGCAUGUUUCCUUUUUAAUCAGCAAUAUUACCCUUAAGGAAACCUUGAAGGGCAGUUCUAUUAUUAAAUAUCUCAAGCACA